AGCGAACGCUGGCGGCAGGCUUAACACAUGCAAGUCGAGCGGGCGUAGCAAUACGUCAGCGGCAGACGGGUGAGUAACACGUGGGAACGUACCUUUUGGUUCGGAACAACACAGGGAAACUUGUGCUAAAUACCGAAUAAGCCCUUACGGGGAAAGAUUUAUCGCCGAAAGAUCGGCCCGCGUCUGGUUAGCUUGUUGGUGAGGUAACGGCUCACCAAGGCGACGAUCAGUAGCUGAUCNGAGAGGAUGAUCAGCCACACUGGGACUGAGACACGGCCCAGACUCCUACGGGAGGCAGCAGUGGGAA
RNAcentral lists this ribosomal RNA (307 nucleotides) under uncultured bacterium. Its description in RNAcentral is "bacterial SSU rRNA". It matches the Rfam family "Bacterial small subunit ribosomal RNA", at positions 29 to 360 of the family's 1533-position model. The record is from RNAcentral.